UGGGGAAUAUUGGACAAUGGGGGAAACCCUGAUCCAGCAAUGCCGCGUGAGUGCAGAAGGCCUUAGGGUUGUAAAGCUCUUUCGCCCGCGAAGAUAAUGACGGUAGCGGGAGAAGAAGCCCCGGCUACCUCCGUGCCAGCAGCCGCGGUAAUACGGAGGGGGCUAGCGUUGUUCGGACUUACUGGGCGUCAAGCGUACGUAGGCGGAUGCGCAAGUUGGGGGUGAAAUCCCGGGGCUUAACCUCGGAAUUGCCCUCAAAACUGCACUUCUUGAGACCGGGAGAGGUAAGGGGAAUUCCUAGUGUAGAGGUGAAAUUCG
RNAcentral lists this ribosomal RNA (318 nucleotides) under uncultured bacterium. Its description in RNAcentral is "bacterial SSU rRNA". It matches the Rfam family "Bacterial small subunit ribosomal RNA", at positions 355 to 690 of the family's 1533-position model. The record is from RNAcentral.